This 486-nucleotide ribosomal RNA is filed under the name uncultured Desulfobacterium sp. RNAcentral's name for it is "bacterial SSU rRNA". It matches the Rfam family "Bacterial small subunit ribosomal RNA", at positions 897 to 1382 of the family's 1533-position model. The record is from RNAcentral. Lineage: Bacteria; Pseudomonadati; Thermodesulfobacteriota; Desulfobacteria; Desulfobacterales; Desulfobacteriaceae.
AAACUUAAAGGAAUUGACGGGGCCCGCACAAGGCGGUGGAGCAUGUGGUUUAAUUCGACGCAACGCGAAGAACCUUACCUGGGCUUGACAUCUGCGGAAUUUCUACGAAAGUAGGAAGUGCCUUCGGGAGCCGCAAGACAGGUGCUGCAUGGCUGUCGUCAGCUCGUGUCGUGAGAUGUUGGGUUAAGUCCCGCAACGAGCGCAACCCUUAUCUUUAGUUACCAUCAUUCAGUUGGGGACUCUAAAGACACUGCCCCGGUCAACGGGGAGGAAGGUGGGGAUGACGUCAAGUCCUCAUGGCCCUUAUGUCCAGGGCUACACACGUGCUACAAUGGGCAGUACAAAGGGUAGCAAGCCUGCGAAGGUGAGGCCAAUCCCAAAAAGCUGUUCGUAGUUCGGAUUGGAGUCUGCAACUCGACUCCAUGAAGCUGGAAUCGCUAGUAAUCGCGGAUCAGCAAAGCCGCGGUGAAUACGUUCCCGGGCCUU